Molecule: ribosomal RNA, 407 nt
Filed under: Propionibacterium acidifaciens
Lineage: Bacteria; Bacillati; Actinomycetota; Actinomycetes; Propionibacteriales; Propionibacteriaceae
Description: bacterial SSU rRNA
Rfam family: Bacterial small subunit ribosomal RNA
Source: RNAcentral
ACGAACGCUGGCGGCGUGCUUAACACAUGCAAGUCGAACGGUAAGGCGCUUUCGGGCGUACACGAGUGGCGAACGGGUGAGUAACACGUGAGGAACGUGCCCUUGACUUUGGUAUAGCACUUGGAAACAGGUGGUAAUCCCGAAUAUUCAGUUUCCCGGGCAUCCGGGUUGUUGGAAAGUUUUUUGCGGUCAGGGAUCGUCUCGCGGCCUAUCAGCUUGUUGGUGGGGUAGUGGCCCACCAAGGCCUUGACGGGUAGCCGGCCUGAGAGGGCGACCCGGGCCCACAUUUGGGGACUGAGAUACGGGCCCCAGACUUCCUAACGGGGAGGGCAAGCAAGUGGGGGAAAUAUUUGCCAACAAAUGGGGCGGGAAAGCCCUGAAUGCCAAGCAAACCGCCCGCCGUUGCC